Molecule: long non-coding RNA, 814 nt
Filed under: Olea europaea subsp. europaea
Lineage: Eukaryota; Viridiplantae; Streptophyta; Magnoliopsida; Lamiales; Oleaceae
Source: RNAcentral
AGUCUCAUCAUUCACUACUGAAAAAAAUAAACACAAUAUUUACGGCUAAGAGAGAGGAGAGAAAGAGAGAGAGAAAGGAAAGAGAGAGAGAGAGAGAGAGAGAGUAGUAUUGGAAAUAAAGUUUGCAUAUAUCAAAUAUUUUAAUCACGUAUUUUUCAAAGCAGAGAAAAGAUUUUGAACGAGCAUUCAGACUUUUCAAAUGAGAUAAGAUACAUAUGUACAAGUUGUUUUUAUUUUUAUAUGCUUUUAUAUGCAAUUAAAUAUGUAUGGAUUGCUAGUGGACCUUCGAGUUCUAGAAAAAGAGAUAUAAAAUUCCCACUGGAAUUUAAGAGGACCAAAGAUGAGUGUGUCACUUGGUUACCGAUAUACUUCAUAAGAGCAGAGUGGUAUGAAAUGUAGAUUUUAUUGUUAUAUAUCUGUAUAUGAAAACUGCACGUAUCUUACUGGGUAUUUUUAAAUACUCAUCCUUACUUUAAUUUUUCAGAUUUGUGCGGGUCGAUUGGAACAUGUGGAAUGGUGAUGCGGACGGCCAAGAAGAAAAUUAUUCAUUAAGUUUUCUGUCUUUUAAUUUAAUUAGUUUGAUUUGUUUUGGAAGAAUAUAAAUGUUAUUGAAUUAGUUAGUUGAGUAUGUUUAUUUUAAAGAUACGAUUAUCAUGUUUUAAGUUAAAUUUGUGAAGGGUUCAGUUAUCUGUUUAUUAAAGAAUUUUAUUUUUAUAGUUCCACACUUAAAAUAAAGAAAAGUGAGUCUUUCGUAACGUUCCGACGUUUAUAAAAUUUGGGGUGUUACAACAAAUAUCAAUAUUAAAUCUUAAAG